UCUACGGCGAGUCUGUAUCCAUCAUAUCUACAACUCGGAGCAUUUUAUGUCCUGAUGUUUGUGAUAAGGCUAUAAAGAGAAAACAUGUUUAUGGACAAGAGCUGGUAGAAGGCCAACACUAAACGUUUGUUAUCCUCUACAGUCGCAGAAGGGGAGACGAAGGAAAGACAGAAGAAAUCAUAGACAGUAGAAGAACGUACAUACACAUAUUAACACGGAUUUAUCCCUAUCUACAUUUCACAUGAGGAAAGACGGCGAAAGGGAGGGAGUAGGAAAGCAUAUGCGUAAGCUGUUUUUACUGUCGGUGAAAAUACGAACGGAGGGGAGAGAGAAGUGGAGGUAUGCGUAGCCCUGUCUUCCCUAGACUAGCAUGAGGACUGCAUAUGUCCAGUAAUCAGCUAAUGUUAUAAUGUCGCAAAAGAAAUUCACGAACGCCAAGAUUGUCAUCUUUGGAGCUUCCGGCGUUGGCAAAACAGCAUUCGCAGUCCGCUACAUCACCAGACGGUACAUUGGCGACUAUGACCGAAAUAAAGAAAUGCUCUAUACGUACAAGAUGACGUCACCAAGGGAUGAGGUCGUCACCCUGGAGAUUCUGGACACCGCACCAGAGUGCAGCCCGGAUGAUACAGAAAAGAACCUGAAAUGGGCGGACGGGUAUGUGAUGAUGUAUUCAGUGACUGACACACCCAGCUUUCACGAAGUGAAACGUUUCAAGGACAUUUUAUUCCGUCUGAAAGGGAACGAAAGACCUAUGGUCCUAAUUGCAAACAAACUUGACCUGCGAGAUGCCCGGGCGGUGAGCGAAGCGGAAAGCACGUCGCUGGCUCAUUCACUUGAGUGUCCAUUGUUCGAACUUUCCGUGGCGGACGGAUAUCAAGGUGUGGCGGAUGCCAUGGAGGAACUCAUUGUUCAACUGCGGAGGGAUUUUGUGAAAUGUCAAAGUGCGGCUAAUGUUAGUAGCAAUGCAGACAAACCCCGUUCAAAGUUAUACAACAUGAAAAAAGUUCUGAAGAAAAGAAUUGGCCGGAGUCAUAGCGAUACAUUUUAAUUAAUGUAUUACAUUAUACAAUAUUUAGUGCAGCUGCAUUGACUAAAACGAUAUUCAGACCUACAUUAUAUGUCCUCACUUCCUACUUAACAAAGUUAACAAAGUACCUUAUAAUAUCUGUUCUCACUCCCUACCUGACCAUGGUAUAUACUUACCUUACAUUACUUGUACUCAAUAAACUCCCUACCUGACCAAGGUAUUUUGGCCUUACAUAACUGUAAUCACUCCCUACCUGACCACGUUAUCUUUCCGUUUCACUACAUGUACUCACUCCCUACCUGACCAGGGUAGCUUACCUAACAUUACCUGUACUCUCUCCCUACUUGAUCAAAUAAUAUUGGCCUUACAAUACGUGUACUCACUCCCUACUUGACCAGUGUAUCUUGUCUUACAUGUACAUUACCCGUACUCACUCCCUACUUGACCAAAUAAUAUUGGCCUUACAUUACCUGUACUCACUCCCUACCUGAUCAGGGUAGCUUACCUAACAUUACCUGUACUCACUCCCUACUUGAUCAAAUAAUAUUGGCUUUACAAUACGUGUACUCACUCCCUACUUGACCAGUGUAUCCUUGUCUUACAUGUACAUUACCCGUACUCACUCCCUACUUGACCAAAUAAUCUUGGCCUUAAAUACUUGUACUCACUCCCUACCUGACCAGGGUAGCUUACCUAACAUUACCUGUACUCAUUCCCUACUUGAUCAAAUAAUAUUGGCCUUACAAUACGUGUACUCACUCCCUACCUGACCAGUGUAUCAUUGUCUUACAUGUACAUUACCCGUACUCACUCCCUACCUGACCAAAUAAUCUUGGCCUUACAUUACAUGUACUCACUCCCUACCUGACCAGGGUAGCUUGCCUUACAUAACCUGUACUCACUCCCUACUUGAUCAAAUAAUAUUGGCCUUACAAUACGUGUACUCACUCCCUACUUGACCAAAGAAUAUUGGCCUUACAUUACUUGUACUCAAUCCCUACUUGAUCAAAGAAGCUUGGCCUUACAAUACCUGUACUUACUCCCUACCUGACCACGGUAUACUCCCCUUACAUUACAUGUACUCACUCCCUACCUGACCAGGGUAUCAUUGCCUUACAUGACCCGUACUCACUCCCCCUACCUGACCACGUUAUCUUUCCCUUACAUUACCUGACCAGGGUAUCCUUGCCUAAAAUUGCCUGUACUCACUCGUUAAUCAGACAUGUUCGCCAUGUACAUUGUGUAUGUCACUUCUUGGUGUAUAGCUGUUAUAAAAACGUGUUGACAAUCAACCAGAUUGAAUUAUAAUACACUGGUUUCUUUGUUACUAAGAAUCAAAGUAAAUUAUAGUUAAAUAAACUAUAUGACUGUUUAUUUCAUUAUCAUCCACUAUACACCAGUAUACCCUUUACAGUCCCGGAAGCGCACAGGGACACAUGUCGACAGUACCUGAUUUCCUCUUGUACAUAGGUUGACAGUACCGGAUGUUCCGAGGUACAUAGAUUGACAGUACCGAAUAUUCCAAGGUACGUAGGUUGACAGUACCGAAUGUUCCGAGGUACAUAGGUCGACACUACCGAAUGUUCCAAUGUACAUAGGUUGAUAGUACCGAAUGUUCCGAGGUACAUAGGGUGAUAGUACCGAAUGUUCCGAGGUACAUAUAUAGGUUGACACUACCGAAUGUUCCGAGGUACAUAGGUUGACACUAUCGAAUAUGCCUGGGUACAUAGGUUGACAGUACCGGUUGUUUCCUGAUACAUAGGUUGGCAGUACCGAAUAUUCCAAGGUACGUAGGUUGACAGUACCGAAUGUUCCGAGGUACAUAGGUUGACACUACCGAAUGUUCCAAUGUACAUAGGUUGAUAGUACCGAAUGUUCCGAGGUACAUAGGUUGACAGUACCGGAUGUUCCCGAUUACAUAGGUUGACAAUACCGGCUGUUACCGGGUACAUAGGUAAGGAGUACCGAGUGUGCCCGGAUACAUAGGUUGACAGUACCGGAUGUUCCAAGGUACAUAGGUUGACAGUACCGGCUGUUUCCGGGUACAUAGGUAAGGAGUACCGAGUGUGCCCGGAUACAUAGGUUGCCAGUACCGGAUGUUCCAAGGUACAUAGGUUGACAAUACCGGCUGUUUCCGGGUUCAUAGGUAAGGAGUACCGAGUGUGACCGGACACAUAGGUUGACAGUACCGGAUGUUCCAAGGUACAUAGGUUGACAGUACCGGAUGUUCCAAGGUACAUAUGUAACAAGGAUAUAUAUAUUUAUUGUGUGUAAGACUUUGAAUGGAUUUUAAUAUCAUGAAAGGUCUUGGUGUAAGGAACCUUAAAUGGUUGUUUGGUAGUAUAGUUGUGUGAUGAAAGAAUAUGGUGCGAGGACCCUUACUGCAUGUGUGUUACCUGUAUGUAAGAAUGUGUGGAAUGUGAGUACUUUUAGUCACAUGACAUCAACGGACAUUUUUAUUGGUCAUAGCUAACAACUGCAUGGUUUUUAACUUGACUAAUAUCACUCAGCACCUAGGCGUUGAAGGAUAUAGAUCUACUUUUUAUAUCAGGAGAAUUUGGAGUAUUACAAAUAUAAAGAACUGAGUUUUUAACCAUAUAUGUUUUAUUAUUAUCAUU
This is an RNA transcript of Mizuhopecten yessoensis (Yesso scallop), 3645 nucleotides long. It is a transcript of the gene named ras-related and estrogen-regulated growth inhibitor-like, with no coding region annotated. The transcript has 6 exons. Lineage: Eukaryota; Metazoa; Mollusca; Bivalvia; Pectinida; Pectinidae. The record is from RefSeq and is a predicted model, not a curated record.